CCUCUCUCUCUCUCUUUCUCCAACACCCAAAUUUGAUUGGGCAUCUACUUCUCCAUGCCCAAAAUCUAGUUGGGCAUCCCCUCUUCCUUCCUCUCUUUUGUUGGUUGCUGAUCUACAUCAAAAAAGAUUCAAUGAAGGAAAAAAGGCUGAUCAAGGAGUUGAUCUAGAGAUCCAAAGGCUGAUCAAAAAUUGAUCAAUUAUGUGUGAAGAAUCAAGAGGAUCAAUUCAUCUUAUUUUCGUGUGGAUAUCCGUAGAGGUCGGACGUUUAUGCGGCUAAAGUUGAACCUAUUCUUCUUCUAGAUCUAAGGUUGAAGAAAGAAAAAAU
RNAcentral lists this long non-coding RNA (325 nucleotides) under Elaeis guineensis (African oil palm). RNAcentral describes it as "long non-coding RNA (EGUI_LNC008104)". Lineage: Eukaryota; Viridiplantae; Streptophyta; Magnoliopsida; Arecales; Arecaceae. The record is from RNAcentral.